CUGGCAGUAUAAGGAUCAGCUACCUCCAGUUUCCUGGGAAGUCUUUUUGCUGCUAGCUGGGUUUUCUUUGCUCUUACAGGUGCUUUGGGUGUGGAGUACCACCUCAGGUGUGAUGUCUAACAAGGCUUUACAUAUACAAGGCUUGGUCCUGCUGAAGAUGUACUUGCCUGACCAUUCCCCUUGCAGAGAAGGAAAUCAUUCCUAUUUGCAGUCUGAAGAGAUGGCUGGACAUAGAGUUCACUCAGUGAGGUCAGAAGAGUCAACAUUAUUAUUACUAGUAAUGACAAGUGGAGCUACUGUUCCAGCCUUCUGGUUUCAUCAGAAUCCUACAGCCUAGUUCUAAUCUUACAGCCUAUUUCAUAUUCAUGGAGGUGGUUUAAGAGAAAUUAGGGGAGAAUCUGCAUGAAGCUUUAUAAACAGCUCAGAUACAAACUGAAGUUUCUUCAUAGUAAGAAACAUUCGUGAGCUGUGAUAUGCUUAUAUUCAUCUUGAAACCUACCAGUGCUGAUGUGUUUCGAUCUUGGGAUUUAACUUGGGCUAUUCCAGGGAAAGGAGCUUGACAUAAAAAUUUAACAUAUUCAGAGGCUUUUUUUCUUCGCAAUUGGCUCCAAGCCUAACUUGAACUUAUUUCAGAGCCAUUUCUUAUUAAAUAUUCUGGGGGCAAAGAGCAAGUUUUUCUUGUCCCAGAAGAAGUUGUCUUAUCAUUAUGAAUAUACUUGCAAUGACUCAAAGUUCCUGGCACUUUUUGUUAUGUACAAAUAAAAUUUGUCAUGAUACAGGUGGCUGCA
This is a long non-coding RNA of Coturnix japonica (Japanese quail), 788 nucleotides long. NCBI's taxonomy places the organism in Eukaryota, Metazoa, Chordata, Aves, Galliformes, Phasianidae. The record is from Ensembl.